Myripristis murdjan (pinecone soldierfish) is the source of this 134-nucleotide long non-coding RNA. RefSeq lists it as uncharacterized. The record is from RefSeq and is a predicted model, not a curated record. The transcript has 3 exons. Lineage: Eukaryota; Metazoa; Chordata; Actinopteri; Holocentriformes; Holocentridae.
CACAACACUGACCUGCAGGCUGUUUAGUUCAGUGCUGCCCCCGCUGGACACAACACUGACCUGCAGGCUGUGUCUCUGGCUCACAGCAGCAGGUGGACGAGGUUCAGAUUUGAAUCUCUUCCAGGUUUGGUUUG